CCCCCCCCCCACCACCACCCCCCCGGAGAAAUCAAUCCCGGCUGCCAAGCGCAGAAAAUGGCCAAAGCGUUACAUGGCUGCCGCCGUCCUGACGCAGCCGACGUCCCAGGGACACGCUGCCGGUAACGCCAGACGAUAGCUCCGUUACCGCUGACGGACUAACCGUAGGGCACGGCGGUGACGGUAGGCCCUAAAUCCACACCUACGUGUAAAACUACUCGCAUCGGAGAUUUAAAAUGGUUUGGGAUUCGCUUCUACCCUGGGAAGGGCUCCUUCGGCAACCUCAACCGUGCGAUUGCUCGCUCUUCCGCUGGAAAACUUUUGUGCGAUAAGGAUGGGGAGGACCCCAAAUCCCAAAAGAGAGUCAAAUGAUUUGGGGAACAAGAAGCAACACCUCCGAGACGGGCAAGGUGGCCGCGGGGCCCAAGGUCGGAGCAGGGCAGCAAUCGGUUGUAACGCGCCUGGUGUUUCACUAGCGGCUGCUCAUCGCGGGAGAGAGGAGAGCCGAGCACGCCUUGGUACGCUGGAUACCGAGGACAUACAGGCUAUCUACCCUUCUUUUUUUUUUUUUUUUUUUUUUUUCUUCCCCCAAUCCCUUGUACGGGUCCGUUGGCCGCAGGGGAAACCCACGCAAGCACCAAACUGUUGUGCAAGGGUUCACCCCUCCGGAGCCCCAAAGUGCCACAAGGGUCGGCUUCUCCGACACCCCACGGGGUGUUGUCAUCCUCCUCCUUCUCUUUCUCCCCCUGUUCCUUUUUCCUCCAAAAGCUGCCCAGCUGUCUCAUCUAGGCUAUGAACAUCGGCUAAAUAUCACCCUUUUGCACAGAGCAUCUCUCUGACCUGUCGAGGGAAGUUUUGGUGGUUCCAAAGAAGCAGUAGAUGGGGAUAAGGAUGGUUUCCAGUGUUCAAAACCACUCGCUCUCCUCUGCCUCAUUAAAUUUUCAGCAGCAAUUAGAUACCCAAAGAACAUUUGCUCGUUUGAAAAAAAUCUCUCUCUUUUCACACGUUUCCUCUUGCACUCGAGAAGUGCCCACCGUGCUUUGGGUCACGAAUAAUAGGAGAUUGUGAACCCGGAUUUGUGCUUUUAAUUAUUUCACUCCCACACGUAGAAACAAACAAUUUUGGUAUAGGACACGGUUAGCGUUAGUGCGUUGACCCGACCGGUCCUGCAAUUUUAUGACUCCCAGAACCACCAUUUUUCCUAAAGCUUCUACUACCGGAGGCAUGUGAUUAAGCUUUUCUAUUCAUCAUCUCCAAGUUUCACAUAUAGGACCGUAUUGAACACUCACAGGACAUUUGCCCACACGGCCUGUGAGAAAUCAGACAACAGAAACCAAAGGGAAAAAGGAACUGAAAGUCAGAAAAUAGUUGCAACCUGCUAGAUUAAAGAUCCGAGACCUCCAGGAAGAACAGAAGGGAAAGGUUGUUUCCUCUCUUCACUGCUCCAGGUACACCAUUCUUGCACAUCUGCUUACCGUCUCGGCAGCCCUUUCCAAAUGGACACGGUCGGAAACACUGGCUGUACAGCUCCUAACCAUCUCCCUUCCAAAUCCCUUCUCUACACCAAUUUGCUGCCUGAGAAAUUGAGCCAACGUUCAUAGCCUAGACGAGACAGCUGGUCAGCUUCUGGAAGAAAAAGGAACGGGAAGAAAGAGGAGGAGGAAGACAACAAGCAAGUAAUGUAACCACAGUGCCUUGGUAUUUACAGGAUUGCCUGGCAAGAACGCUUUCAACUGCCAGUGGGGCACCUGGAGAGAAAAACACCGCGCCUGCCCUCCUGGGUCCCAACCCACCUAGAUGUUGGCAAUUUCAGUAAACAAUUUUAGUAAACAGUAACAUUCGUGAAGCUGUAUUGACCGCUUCUACAGGCAAAGCUAGAAGCAGCCCCUCUUAUUCUCCACUUACUGUGGUACAGGGUAAACAAACAAACUAAACCCCACCAAACUCACCACAUUUAAUUACACCACAAAGCAAACAGGAAGCUAGAGCAGUUUUAGGAGAGUUGAAACUAUUUGCUCCAUGUGGUUAACACUACUCAACAGGCGGGAAACCGCGCUUUUGCUUCAGCUAUGCAGUUGGUCUGCAAAUACAGCUGGUAACUUGCUCUUAUUUAAAAGUCAAAAGAGGUUUUUUUUUUGGCAACAAGAUCUGAAAUAGGAUCACAGCCACAUGAAGCGUACAACGCUGAUCCACGCCGGCUAUCACAGAGGUGAGCAGCAGAGUUCACCUGUGUAAGUACAGCCACAGGAUACAUUCUUUGGUGAGAAAUGCCUAUGGCCAAACCAAACAGUGCUUCAAGAUUUGAACAUGAGUUUCUUUUUGCAUCUUACACAAAGGGCGUCUGUGCUACAGCAUAAUGCUACACUGCUACAGGCUUUUCAUUCUUUGUUUGGAUGUCUUUAAACACAUAUAUGUGUUUGGGGCCCCUAGGCUCUCUUGCAAGCAAGCCAUGUGCACACUGAAGGGAAAUUAGGAUAAAUUAUACUAAGUAUUUUAACUGCACCUUACAGCCUCCAACUGCUGUACACAUUCAUUUUUGUAUUUUGAACUUUCCAGUUCUCCAUCUCCAGACAGGGCUGCCACAGCCUUACCAAUUACCAUAAACUGCAUAAACAGCUUAAUACUGCUAUAUUUUACAGAUGUUUAUUCAAGUAGGACACAACGUAAAUAACGAGGGGAAGACUAGACCUUCACCACUUUGAAAAUCAGUGCUAGUGCUCUAGGGAAGAUGUUGACUAAUCUAAACCAACUGCAGAUCCAAAAACUCCGAAACUUUGUUGGGGAAAUUCAGAUAUGAGUUCACAAUUUCAGGAAUAUAGCAUGACUAAUAAUUAAUAAUGAAUAGUAAAUGUUGUUAAUACGUUCAGAAUACAUACAUUUUCAUUUGUACUGCUUAAAACACAUAAAUAGCAUGUACUGUAAACUCUGCAGGCCCAUGCUUUUCCUCCUUUGUUCUCGUCACGCAAGAAGACCAAGGCACAGAAAUUAAUUGACCAAAAGUUACAUAGGGGGAUAGCAGAAAAAAAAACAGGUUAAAUCUCUGGUAUUCUCGCUAAAGGACUUGUUUUAUUAGGAUAAUGUAAAUUUACUUUUAGAACAUCUAUAUAUUCAGUGAAGAGAAGAAGAAAGAAGGAGAAGAAGAAAAGUGGAGGAAAUGGUGACUUAAAAAAACACUUAGGUCCAGAAUAAUUCUAGCAGGUUGGGAGGUGACUGGGCAAAGGACAGCAAGUGCAUUGGGACCCAUGACUGGUGGAUAUGUAAAGCAACGAAGGACAACCACCACCCAGGAAAGAGCUGCAAGGAAGUCGGUCACUGUCACGCGUCUCAGGUUCCACUUUCCCCCAGCUCAAGUCCCACAAAAAUUACAUUUCCCCUGCUAAGGACAAGGCAGGGGAUAAACACCAGGCGAGGAUAUUUAGGGGAAUAAAAAAAAAAAAAAAAAAAAUAAAAAAAAAAGAUCACAAGCACAUUUACCAGCUUUACCCAGUAUGGGUUGCAUUAACCUGGGGGGACCACAAAUACAGGGACAAGGGCCUCAGUGAGCACCCAGGUCUUCGCUGCCCCAGGCUGACUACCUCCUUCCACUGCUAACUUGUCACGUCCUGAAGCACACAUCCUUAACCAGCCCUGAAACAGAUGCUGUUUUUCUCCUAUUCUUCACCUACGCUCAAGCAACCUUCCCAGGAAGAAGAUAUUUCUCUGAAGGAAAAAAAUGCGGCAGUUAUUUCGUAGCUUGGACUUUGGGACAGCUGAGUGCACAGUGGUUAUAACGUGAAUUGUUUUUCUUUCAAGAACAAGGCUACAGUUUGCUUGUUGA
Aquila chrysaetos chrysaetos is the source of this 3817-nucleotide long non-coding RNA. RefSeq lists it as uncharacterized. NCBI's taxonomy places the organism in Eukaryota, Metazoa, Chordata, Aves, Accipitriformes, Accipitridae. The transcript has 3 exons. The record is from RefSeq and is a predicted model, not a curated record.